AGCAAAUAUUUAUUUCCCACAUAUUUUCCCUUUUCUUUCAGGCUCCAGUUUUGAAACCUGCGGAUUCCCCCGCUCAAACAUUGCUUGACUGCCAUGAAUUGGGUCGGUUUGUUUUCCUCUGGUUUCUCGAGCUGCUUCUUACAAAGGCCUUGCAGCAGGGCAGGGGGGGAGACGGGGGGAAGGGAAACCAGCUCUAUGGGGCAGCGCUGUUUUACAUGCGGGUUAGACACGGCUAGAGGCCAAGGUCAAGUUGAAUGUUGCAGUCUAGCCAAUGUGAGAACUGUCAUUUGCAGCCUGAAGACCC
RNAcentral lists this small RNA (304 nucleotides) under Apteryx owenii (little spotted kiwi). Its description in RNAcentral is "HOXA transcript at the distal tip, conserved region 2 (ENSAOWG00000006356.1)". It matches the Rfam family "HOXA transcript at the distal tip, conserved region 2", at positions 39 to 337 of the family's 374-position model. Lineage: Eukaryota; Metazoa; Chordata; Aves; Apterygiformes; Apterygidae. The record is from RNAcentral.